RNAcentral lists this non-coding RNA (42 nucleotides) under Schistosoma margrebowiei. Lineage: Eukaryota; Metazoa; Platyhelminthes; Trematoda; Strigeidida; Schistosomatidae. The record is from RNAcentral.
AUCUAGCUGAGUUCCAAAUAAGAGGAAACACGCGUCCUGGAU